GAUAGGGCACUGACCGCAUCAUCCUCUCUUCGUCUCCUCACUUCCCCCAUUCUCUCCUUGUUCCCCUAACCCUAGCUUUUCUCUACGCCGCCGCCACCACCCGUCCUCCCGCCCCUAGCGCCGCCACCAUGCCUUCUCUCCUCCCGUUACUCACCACCACUGGCCCUCCUCGUCCUUGCCUUCGGUUGCGAUGCUUCUGUCUCGUCAAGCUCACCGCCCCCGUCCUGGGCCUCGAAGCGUCGUCGGGAGGAGCAAGCGGACUGCCUCUCGCGCGCCGUCACCAUCGCCUGGAGAAGGCUCGCGCGAUGGUCGCCGGCAUGCAUCCUCUCCGUGUGGCACAGGUUGAACUCGCAUCCCUCUUCCAUCCCUCUCAUCUCUCUCUGCCCCUUCCGUUGCUGCUCCCCUUUCUCCUGUACAAGUGCGGGCACUUUUUGGUCGGAGCCGAGCUCCCGGUCAUGGCCGGCGAGGCCAUGGGAGCUGCUCCCCUCGUUGUUAUACAGAUCCACCUCGACAUCAUGUCUUCUCACAACAAGGUUCUUAGAUUUGGUGGUGGCUUCGCAGGCUCCGGUGACCAUCCAAAUCACCUCUUCAGUCCAUCUAUCUUCUCAAGGGGGGCGCAGGUCACUUGUUUCAAUGAGGACAUGCACGACAUCACGCUCCAUUUCCAGAUCAUAAGCUUCUCUAAAUAGCAAAAUGUUACUCAAACAAAGACACUGGAAUAGAAAUCUUACCCACAAAACCGGGGGUGGGGGCUUCUUGCAAGGCUGUGUAGGAAUCUGGAGGGCUGGUCUUCGGCAAGGUCACAACACGUGUGAGCUCCUCCUUUUGAUAUCUUGACCAUGAUGUAAUUUGGAUUUUAUAUGGCUGCUCCUUAUCAAUGUGGUUUCAAAUUAUUCUGCUACUCCAAAAGGUUCUAUUUGCAGGUAUUGUAAUGUUUGCUUGCACCUAGCUCCUAAACACACAUGGAUCCCGCAUUUUAUUUCUUUUGUUGUCUCGUGUAUUUUCAUAUGAUGAUAUAGUUCAUCAUUGAUCUGAAUGCUUAAAUGAAACUCACUCCGGGUGAGAACAG
Triticum dicoccoides is the source of this 1069-nucleotide long non-coding RNA. RefSeq lists it as uncharacterized. The record is from RefSeq and is a predicted model, not a curated record. Lineage: Eukaryota; Viridiplantae; Streptophyta; Magnoliopsida; Poales; Poaceae. The transcript is spliced from 3 exons.